CUGGAAACGGUGGCUAAUACCGGAUGUGCCGAGAGGUGAAAGGCUUGCUGCCUGAAGAAGAGCUUGCGUCUGAUUAGCUAGUUGGUGGUGUAAGAGACUACCAAGGCGACGAUCAGUAGCUGGUCUGAGAGGAUGAUCAGCCACACUGGGACUGAGACACGGCCCAGACUCCUACGGGAGGCAGCAGUGGGGAAUUUUCCGCAAUGGGCGAAAGCCUGACGGAGCAAUACCGCGUGAGGGAGGAAGGCUCUUGGGUUGUAAACCUCUUUUCUCAGGGAAGAACAAAAUGACGGUACCUGAGGAAUAAGCAUCGGCUAACUCCGUGCCAGCAGCCGCGGUAAUACGGAGGAUGCAAGCGUUAUCCGGAAUGAUUGGGCGUAAAGAGUCCGUAGGUGGCAUUGAAAGUCUGCUGUUAAAGAGUCUAGCUCAACUAGAUAAGAGCAGUGGAAACUACAAAGCUAGAGUUUGGUCGGGGCAGAAGGAAUUCCUGGUGUAGCGGUGAAAUGCGUAGAGAUCAGGAAGAACACCGGUGGCGAAGGCGUUCUGCUAGGCCGAGACUGACACUGAGGGACGAAAGCUAGGGGAGCGAAUGGGAUUAGAUACCCCAGUAGUC
RNAcentral lists this ribosomal RNA (613 nucleotides) under uncultured cyanobacterium. RNAcentral describes it as "bacterial SSU rRNA". It matches the Rfam family "Bacterial small subunit ribosomal RNA", at positions 150 to 795 of the family's 1533-position model. The record is from RNAcentral. Lineage: Bacteria; Bacillati; Cyanobacteriota.